Molecule: ribosomal RNA, 424 nt
Filed under: uncultured bacterium
Lineage: Bacteria
Description: bacterial SSU rRNA
Rfam family: Bacterial small subunit ribosomal RNA
Source: RNAcentral
GGGCCCGCACAAGCGGUGGAGCAUGUUGUUUAAUUCGAAGCAACGCGCAGAACCUUACCUGGAUUUGACAUCUCGGGAAUCUUCCUGAAAAGGAAGAGUGCCUUCGGGAAUGCAGAUACAGGUGGUGCAUGGCUGUCGUCAGCUCGUGUCGUGAGAUGUUGGGUUAAGUCCCGCAACGAGCGCAACCCUUAUUUUUAGUUACCAACUUGUUGGGCUUUCUAGAAAGACUGCCGGUGACAAACCGGAGGAAGGUGAGGAUGACGUCAAGUCAGCAUGCCCCUUAUGUCCUGGGCCACACACGUGCUACAAUGGUUAGGACAAAGAGUCGCAAGUUUGUAAAAACAAGCUAAUCUCGUAAACCUAGCCUAAGUUCAGAUUGUAGGCUGCAACUCGCCUACAUGAAGUUGGAAUCGCUAGUAAUCGC